Molecule: ribosomal RNA, 266 nt
Filed under: unidentified marine bacterioplankton
Lineage: Bacteria
Also listed under: 1 other name
Description: partial 16S ribosomal RNA
Rfam family: Bacterial small subunit ribosomal RNA
Source: RNAcentral
UGCCUAAUACAUGCAAGUCGAACGAGAUCUUCGGAUCUAGUGGCGCACGGGUGCGUAACGCGUGGGAAUCUGCCCUUGGGUUCGGAAUAACAGUUGGAAACGACUGCUAAUACCGGAUGAUGACGUAAGUCCAAAGAUUUAUCGCCCAGGGAUGAGCCCGCGUAGGAUUAGCUAGUUGGUGGGGUAAAGGCCUACCAAGGCGACGAUCCUUAGCUGGUCUGAGAGGAUGAUCAGCCACACUGGGACUGAGACACGGCCCAGACUCC